UAGCUGUCUCUUGUGAGACUAUGCCGG
RNAcentral lists this non-coding RNA (27 nucleotides) under Drosophila erecta. The record is from RNAcentral. RNAcentral also lists the same sequence under 2 other names. Lineage: Eukaryota; Metazoa; Arthropoda; Insecta; Diptera; Drosophilidae.